Molecule: small nucleolar RNA, 157 nt
Filed under: Balaenoptera musculus (blue whale)
Lineage: Eukaryota; Metazoa; Chordata; Mammalia; Artiodactyla; Balaenopteridae
Description: Small nucleolar RNA U3 (ENSBMSG00010016485.1)
Rfam family: Small nucleolar RNA U3
About the family: Small nucleolar RNAs (snoRNAs) are involved in the processing and modification of rRNA in the nucleolus. There are two main classes of snoRNAs: the box C/D class, and the box H/ACA class.
Source: Rfam by way of RNAcentral
AAGACUAUACUUUCAGGGAUCAUUUCUAUAGUUUGUUACUAAUCUCAUAGCAUUGUGGUCAGAAAAGAUGCUUGAUAUGAUUUCAAUUUUCUUAAAUUUACUGAGGUUUGAUUUAUCACCCAAGAUGCAAUCUAUCCUGGAGAAUGUUCUGUGUGCA